Molecule: non-coding RNA, 378 nt
Organism: Delphinapterus leucas (beluga whale)
Lineage: Eukaryota; Metazoa; Chordata; Mammalia; Artiodactyla; Monodontidae
Source: RefSeq, a predicted model, not a curated record
AUCCUACAGAACACUUCAAACCCUAGGGGAAACUGGAAGGAGACUGGACGCUGAAAUGAUAAUGUGGAAAUCACCCUGACUGAACAGGAACAUCUGUGUUGGAUUUCGUUGUGGAAUGGACUUCAGUUUGUCACAGUGCUAGACAAAUGCUUUGAAGAAGAGGAAGUCAUAGGCCUUCACGCUUGGACUGAAAUCUACACCAUUGGCUCUCUAGCUCUCAGGCUUUCUAACUACACCAUUGGCCUUUCUGGGUCUCCAGCUUGGAGACUGCAGAUCAUGGGACUUCUCAGCCUCCAUCAUUGUAUGAGCCAAUACCUUAUACAAAUACCUGGAAAGGAAGAAAAAGGAGAAAACACCUCCAAAGGAUGAAGAAAUUAU